RNAcentral lists this ribosomal RNA (404 nucleotides) under uncultured bacterium. Its description in RNAcentral is "bacterial SSU rRNA". It matches the Rfam family "Bacterial small subunit ribosomal RNA", at positions 355 to 776 of the family's 1533-position model. The record is from RNAcentral.
UGGGGAAUAUUGCACAAUGGGGGGAACCCUGAUGCAGCGACGCCGCGUGAAGGAAGAAGUAUCUCGGUAUGUAAACUUCUAUCAGCAGGGAAGAAAAUGACGGUACCUGACCAAGAAGCCCCGGCUAACUACGUGCCAGCAGCCGCGGUAAUACGUAGGGGGCAAGCGUUAUCCGGAUUUACUGGGUGUAAAGGGAGCGUAGGCGGCGAUGCAAGUCAGAAGUGAAAGCCCGGGGCUCAACUCCGGGACUGCUUUUGAAACUGUGUUGCUAGAUUGCGGGAGAGGCAAGUGGAAUUCCUAGUGUAGCGGUGAAAUGCGUAGAUAUUAGGAGGAACACCAGUGGCGAAGGCGGCUUGCUGGACCGUGAAUGACGCUGAGGCUCGAAAGCGUGGGGAGCAAACAGG